CUGGUGCAUAUCCCAGAACCUCAAAGGGUCUUCAGUAUGUGGUAUAUUGGGGUCACUGAGGUUCGCGCCUCAUUUUCACUUUUCUGAAGCAGUCACGUGGUUGAGCGCAGAACGAAGCUUCGGAUCACCAUGGUCAGGUGUUUAGGGUAGAACGGAAGAAGCAUAGAAGUUCUGCUUCAGAACGCACUGUAUUGUUUUUUUUGACACAUGCCUCGGAGCUUCGGUGUUAAGCUUAACAUGACUACCCCAGAGCAUCUUUAAACGGAUGUCAGACUUGUAUUCAGCAAUUGCAGAUGAAGAUCUGGACCACAUAGUGGAGGAUAUCCAGAGGAUCUAUCCAAACUCUGGAUACAGGAUGAUCCAUGGGCAUCUUCAGGCAAGAGGGCUUAGAAUCCAAACUUCAAGAGCACGAUGCUCUCUUCAGAGAGUGGACCCUGAAGGGUCAUGAAUAAGGGCUCUUUUAGCACCUAUGGUGAGGCACCGCCAAUACUCUGUUCCCUGCCCCAAUGCAAUGUGGCAUAUUGCUGGAAACCACAAACUGAUCAGGUGGAGGAUUGUGAUUCAUGGGGGCAUAGAUGGCUUCA
Molecule: long non-coding RNA, 584 nt
Organism: Paramormyrops kingsleyae
Lineage: Eukaryota; Metazoa; Chordata; Actinopteri; Osteoglossiformes; Mormyridae
Source: RefSeq, a predicted model, not a curated record